UUGAAUUAUAACGUAAGCUUUUAAAACGAGAGUAAUAGCUAUCACUUUCUCCACAAGUAGCAAUCAACGUGGUCUGACACAAAGAACGUAUCCAACGUCUUUUUAUGCAAUCAACCAGUGUAAACAAGACUCGAUCAGUUCUCUUCUCACACACAGUUUUCGUAGAACAAUGUUUAUGUAAAUUUUGAACUACAAUUUCCUCCUGCCAGCAACAGAGAAAAACCAGUUUUACCCAUUCACUAGACUUUGCCCAGUGCUCCACGAUUUUUAAAGCAUAUAUAAAACAACCGUGGAAAGGGAGAACAACUCGUCGUCGACAAGUGCACCCAGAGACCCGACACAAAAAGGGCAACUUCUAGGGUCAUGAUAUUUCUACCGGAUUAAUACGAUUCGAUGGACACAGUCAUUCAGAUGUGUAUUGUAUCUAAUUAGGUUGAUUCGUAUAAUAGUCCGAUGCCUUGAAUGAUGUUCCCAAAUAUGUAUGAAAUUGAAUCACCACAUAAGACUAUUAUGCAAAUACCAGUCGCAUUUGAAGCAUGAAAAUCAGAACGGUUUGAAAUUGAUUGACCUGGCUCCCUGUUGUGGCCUCUCCAAACCGUUGUCGAUUAAAUCGAACAACAAAAGAUGCCAGAAACCGACAAUCAAGUCAACAAUCCCCGAGAAUUGGUUGCCUGCUCUAUCUGUGUGUAUGUCUGAAGGUUGGCCUGAUGUAACCAAAUAGGUAAUUGCCCGACGAAAGAUGUGGAGAACGAGAGAAAUGGGCCGGUGCAUAAUAAUAAGCGGACUGUUUGGGCUUUGAUUCUCAGAGGUCCGACCCGACCGUGCCGUAGACCAUACAAACUCAGUGAACCCUAAGCGAACAGAACGAAAAAUACCACCUAUACAUGCAAUCUGUAUAACUCCGCAUACAAUAUAUGGGAAUGACAUACCAUA
This is a long non-coding RNA of Aedes aegypti (yellow fever mosquito), 933 nucleotides long. RefSeq lists it as uncharacterized. The record is from RefSeq and is a predicted model, not a curated record. NCBI's taxonomy places the organism in Eukaryota, Metazoa, Arthropoda, Insecta, Diptera, Culicidae. The transcript is spliced from 3 exons.